RNAcentral lists this ribosomal RNA (253 nucleotides) under uncultured bacterium. RNAcentral's name for it is "partial 16S ribosomal RNA". It matches the Rfam family "Bacterial small subunit ribosomal RNA", at positions 524 to 776 of the family's 1533-position model. The record is from RNAcentral.
UACAGAGGGGGCAAGCGUUAUUCGGAAUUAUUGGGCGUAAAGGGCGCGUAGGCGGCUUGGCAAGUGGAAGGUGAAAUCCCUCGGCUUAACCGAGGAACUGCCUUCCAGACUGUUAGGCUUGAGACCGGGAGAGGUGAGUGGAAUUCCCAGUGUAGCGGUGAAAUGCGUAGAUAUUGGGAGGAACACCAGUGGCGAAGGCGGCUCACUGGACCGGUACUGACGCUGAGGCGCGAAAGCUAGGGGAGCAAACGGG